Molecule: non-coding RNA, 73 nt
Organism: Bos taurus (domestic cattle)
Lineage: Eukaryota; Metazoa; Chordata; Mammalia; Artiodactyla; Bovidae
Source: Rfam
UCCCUGGUGGUCCAGUGGCCAAGACUCUGUGCCCUCAAUGCAGGGGGCCCGAGUUUGAUUCCUGGUCAGGGAA